RNAcentral lists this non-coding RNA (27 nucleotides) under Mus musculus (house mouse). Lineage: Eukaryota; Metazoa; Chordata; Mammalia; Rodentia; Muridae. The record is from RNAcentral.
UACUGGAACUGAAGCUACACACUGUUG